AGAGUUUGAUCAUGGCUCAGGAUGAACGCUGGCGGCAUGCCUAAUACAUGCAAGUCGAACGAAGUGCUUUAUGCACUUAGUGGCGAAUGGGUGAGUAACACGUAUUUAAUCUACCUAAUAGUGAGGGACAACAGUUAGAAAUGACUGCUAAUACCGCAUAGUAUAUUUUAUGGCAUCAUAAAAUAUUUAAAGGCGCUUCGGCGUCGCUAUUAGAUGAGGAUGCGGCGUAUUAGCUUGUUGGUAAGGUAAUGGCUUACCAAGGCAAUUAUACGUAGCCGGCCUGAGAGGGUGAACGGCCACAUCGGGACUGAGACACGGCCCGGACUCCUACGGGAGGCAGCAGUAAGGAAUUUUUCACAAUGGACGAAAGUCUGAUGGAGCAAUGCCGCGUGAUUGAUGACAGCCUUAGGGUUGUAAAAAUCUGUUAUAGAGAAAGAAUUGUCAGUAUAGGAAAUGAUAUUGGCUUGACGGUACUUUAUCAGAAAGACACGGCAAACUAUGUGCCAGCAGCCGCGGUAAUACAUAGGUGUCAAGCGUUAUCCGGAUUUAUUGGGCGUAAAGAGUGCGCAGACGGUAUGAUAAGUUUGAGGUUAAAGGCUAGGGCUUAACCCUAGCUCGCCUUGAAAACUGUCUUACUAGAGUGUGGUAGAAGUUGAUGGAAUUUCAUGUGUAGCGGUGGAAUGCGUAGAUAUAUGAAGGAACACCAGUGGCGAAGGCGAUCAACUAUGCUAUUACUGACGUUCAUGCACGAAAGCGUGGGGAGCAAAUAGGAUUAGAUACCCUAGUAGUCCACGCUGUAAACGAUGAGUACUAAGUGUCGACAUUAGUCGGUGCUGCAGCUAACGCAUUAAGUACUCCGCCUGAGUAGUAUGCUCGCAAGAGUGAAACUCAAAGGAAUUGACGGGGACCCCGCACAAGCGG
Molecule: ribosomal RNA, 921 nt
Filed under: uncultured Mollicutes bacterium
Lineage: Bacteria; Bacillati; Mycoplasmatota; Mollicutes
Description: bacterial SSU rRNA
Rfam family: Bacterial small subunit ribosomal RNA
Source: RNAcentral